Zingiber officinale is the source of this 649-nucleotide long non-coding RNA. RefSeq lists it as uncharacterized. The transcript is spliced from 2 exons. The record is from RefSeq and is a predicted model, not a curated record. NCBI's taxonomy places the organism in Eukaryota, Viridiplantae, Streptophyta, Magnoliopsida, Zingiberales, Zingiberaceae.
GCUUCUCUAAACCUAAUUCGGCGCUGCCCUCUCCCACAUGCGAUGCUCUUGUGGCAUCGCUGCGCCGACUGCCUACAAAGCCCUACCGCCACGCCGCUCUUCUCUGCCCUUCGCAUCGCAAUCACCCGGAGCCACUUCUUUGUCGUGCCACUGCACAACCGUUCUCCCCUCCACGCAUGCGAUGCCAUGUCGGGUGCUGCUGCACCUCUUCGUCGGAGACGUCUUCUUCCUCUUUUUUUUUUUUUUUUGAGUGGCGUCCACUGUCGUCAGUAUCCAGCCGUGACCUAACAACCCCAACUGAGGUUACCUCAUUCUAGCAGCGUGAUCGUUGCUGGUGUCCCCGCCUAUUGAUCAUUGCUUCGCCUGAUCAGUUAUCGACCGCCGACCACGGACCACCAACCUCCAACCAUUAGCUUCUGUACUCGAUCCUGUGUCAUCGUCGGCUGCGUGGCCAUGGGGAGCAACUGUCGGAGAUGGAGAUGAUCAACCAAUGGUUGGGUAACAAGACUUGAGUUUGAGUCAGACUUUGGACUUGAAGACGGUUCGGAUACUCUGCAUUCGAGGCGAGUACUUCUUGCUUUGUUUUCUUUUAGUACUUUGACCUUAGUGCAUGAAUUAUUUUGGAUAAGAACUGUUUACCUUGACUCCA